CAGAGAUUGCUAGGAUGUACACCUGGGAGGAGAACUGAGGACCUCAGUCCGAGACGAUGUCAAUUGGGAUGCCGUGAAGUUUGAAUACGUGAAGGACAAGAAGACAUGAGUGGCGGACAGUCUUUCAAGAUGUUUUCUCCGGGAUGCUGGUCUACCUCCACCGCCCCCACAGGUAGCCAGAGUGGGGGGAUCCAGGCGGGCGCCAGCUGGCACCACCUCAGCACCCACGCAACAUGGGUAAAACCCCAGCGACACCAUCAGCGCCUCCAGCAGAAGAGUCUCCGAGUGAACCUAAAGCCUCUCCUCCGCCACCAUCGCAAGCCUCUUCGCCUCUCUCAGAAGGCAAUGUUGAUGAAUGUUAAUUACUGUAUAAG
Molecule: long non-coding RNA, 374 nt
Organism: Phyllopteryx taeniolatus (common seadragon)
Lineage: Eukaryota; Metazoa; Chordata; Actinopteri; Syngnathiformes; Syngnathidae
Exons: 3
Source: RefSeq, a predicted model, not a curated record